This is a long non-coding RNA of Trematomus bernacchii (emerald rockcod), 1304 nucleotides long. RefSeq lists it as uncharacterized. NCBI's taxonomy places the organism in Eukaryota, Metazoa, Chordata, Actinopteri, Perciformes, Nototheniidae. The transcript is spliced from 7 exons. The record is from RefSeq and is a predicted model, not a curated record.
UGGUGCUGGCAGGUGGAGGAGCAGUGGUGCUGGCAGGUGGAGGAGCAAUGCAUGAUGGAAGCCUGCUGGAGAGUGCCUGAGCUUCUUUCUCCAAGACACCCACUGCGUUGGGGAGCUGCAUGAGGGAGGAACCAGUCUUGGUCCUAAAUAGUUCCUCAAUCUGAUGCUGGCAAACUUGAUGACUUUGUGGACGAUGUAGCCUGCAAGAUGGAAGAGAAUACAUUUCUCAGUUUUUGUGAGGAAGUCUGCCAAAAAGCUACUGUGGUCUUCCUGGUAGCUCCCAGAGCUGAUGGUGGUGAGGAACUGCCCCACAGAUAUGAUUCUCAGUGCAUGAUGGAAUUCCACUGGAGUUGGGACAGGAUUUUUAGACCUCACACAGCUGAAGGCUUACAACCUCCCUUUUGACCAAUCUUCAUCCCACGAAACAGAUGGACGAUGUUCUGGAGGAAGGUGAUGGCCUUUUGGUACUCCUCCAUCUUGAGCCUGCUCAGGGCUGUAAUUGGAUGGCGAGAUGACAUGAGAUCAAACCAACGAUCAACCUGCUCCAGGAACCAUGCUGUCGUCAAUUAGGACAGAGGGCGGUUUUCUUGCUGCACCAUGUAUUUCAGCCCAGCACUUGUAGCCUUACUGAAUACAUUUAGAGCAAGACCAACAUCGGGCAUGAAAUAAAGCUGCCUGUCUGGUGUUGCUGGAUGUGGCACCGAUGUUUUAUUUUGGUCGACCCCAAAGGAUUUCCACAUGGCUCGGUUAGGGCUACCCAUGUCUGUGGUGACAUCAAGCACAUGUAGCCCUAUGGAUGCUGCCCUCUGUAUUACCUCAAUAAUGAUUGGCCUGUACUCUGCUCCAUUGGUAGAAUUGCCAGUGUAAUGAUAUGCCACUACUUGCUUCCACCGUGUUGUGUUUCCAGCCAACAUAAACACACAAGCAUGUGUUGCCACUCCUGUGUGACCUGGUAAAGUUACAUCACCGUACAGUUUGCCUGUAAUCAUGUCCAACUCCACACUUGGUGUGAUUGCCAUUUCAUCCAAGGUCAACACACACUCCCUUUCAAGUGUUCUUAUUCCUGGCAGGGGAAUCUGCAAUUCCUGCAGAGUUUUGUAACCGGUUGGUCCGGCAGCAAAGCACAUUUUUAAAGCCUUCUUAAUUGUCUCAUUGCUCCAUUUCAUUCCCUUUAUCUGUUUGACUGGCUGCUGGUUCCCUGGUAUGCUGACUGGCUGCUGGUUCCCUGGUAUGCUGACUGGCUGCUGGUUCCCUGGUAUGCUGACUGGCUGCUGGUUCCCUGGUAUGCUGACUGGCUGCUGGUU